CUUUUACCUCUAAUAAACAUGCUUGCUUAGAAGAAGCUGUGUGGUAACUUGUAACUGCAGGCAAUGCACUGUUCAUAGCCCUCAAAUAGAAAGCAACACACAGGCACUGGCUGUUAGGCAGACUGGCUUGCUGGGGAUAUCACAACAUAAAAGACAAGCAC
Non-coding RNA from Chelonoidis abingdonii (Abingdon island giant tortoise), 161 nucleotides. NCBI's taxonomy places the organism in Eukaryota, Metazoa, Chordata, Testudines, Testudinidae. The record is from RefSeq and is a predicted model, not a curated record.